CGCUGGGCUAGCAGUAGGGGGAGGGAGGAUUCAGGCCAGAUUCUCGCCUGCCCCACACGGGGACACUCGAGCAAGGGAGCUGACGGGUGUGCUCCUGACACAACGUGAGAUACCCGAAGCACAGGUGCACGGAUGACAAAUGACAUGGGAAACCAUCAGGACUUGAUUGCUUUUCCAAAACAGCCUCUUCAAUCACCGCCUCUUCAAAUGAACUAAACUGGCCUAUCGUCAGGACCAAGACCUGCUCAAGGAGACCAACUAUUUGCCAGCUCAACUUGUAACGUGUGGAAGUUUCAGGAAAGUUCCAGACGGAGGAGUUGAAGGGGUGCAGGAUGAGACACCCCAAAAUGUGCCACUUUGGCAUAAAGAUUAUUCCAAGUUAAAAUUAAUAAAAACCCAGCAGAUGCAGAAAAAGCACUUUGCCUCCCCCAUAACCGUGUAAAUUCACAUUGGAAAGGAAAACCUUCACUGGGCAGAGUAUUAACAGCCCCCCUCCCAACCUUUACCAAUGGAGCUCAUGUGCCCAAAAGAGCCAUCUAGUUUUUCCAGACAUCUCCUUUCACCUUCCUGCUGUUGACUUUUCUCCCCUUUGUGUCCUCAGACCCCUACCUCUUUCCUGAGCUCAUAUAAGCUUCAUGUGGCCUCCCUGUCUUCAGAAUUCCCUAUCUGUGUGGAGUCCCCAUAAGUAUACCUAUUAAAUUUGAUUUUGUCUUGUUU
This is a long non-coding RNA of Leopardus geoffroyi (Geoffroy's cat), 717 nucleotides long. RefSeq lists it as uncharacterized. The record is from RefSeq and is a predicted model, not a curated record. Lineage: Eukaryota; Metazoa; Chordata; Mammalia; Carnivora; Felidae. The transcript has 2 exons.